CGCAUGAAGCCGGAAUCGCUAGUAAUCGCAGAUCAGAAUGCUGCGGUGAAUACGUUCCCGGGUCUUGUACACACCGCCCGUCACACCAUGGGAGUCGAUAACGCCCGAAGUCAGUGACCCAACCGAGAGGAGGGAGCUGCCGAAGGCGGGAUGGAUAACUGGGGUGAAGUCGUAACAAGGUAGC
RNAcentral lists this ribosomal RNA (184 nucleotides) under uncultured bacterium. Its description in RNAcentral is "partial 16S ribosomal RNA". It matches the Rfam family "Bacterial small subunit ribosomal RNA", at positions 1317 to 1500 of the family's 1533-position model. The record is from RNAcentral.